RNAcentral lists this ribosomal RNA (253 nucleotides) under uncultured bacterium. Its description in RNAcentral is "partial 16S ribosomal RNA". It matches the Rfam family "Bacterial small subunit ribosomal RNA", at positions 524 to 776 of the family's 1533-position model. The record is from RNAcentral.
UACGGAGGGUGCAAGCGUUAAUCGGAAUUAGUGGGCGUAAAGCGCACGCAGGUGGCUGAGUCAGUCGAUUGUGAAAGCCCUGGGCUUAACCUGGGAAUUGCAGUCGAUACUACUCGGCUAGAGUAUGGGAGAGGGCAGUGGAAUUCCCGGUGUAGCGGUGAAAUGCGUAGAUAUCGGGAGGAACAUCAGUGGCGAAGGCGGCUGCCUGGCCCAAUACUGACACUCAGGUGCGACAGCGUGGGGAGCAAACAGG